CCCCACCUCCCACCGACGAUCCCCAAUUCCGGCCGCAUGGUCGCCUGUCGCCGGGUGCUGCUCCGUCCCGAGCACCGUCGAUGACUUUGUCGCCUGCUCAAGCCCGCCCCUCUUCAUUCCUCUCCCCAUUGUUGUCCAACGCCCCGAGCUCCCAUCGCGCCGCAGACCACAUACUCCUCCUGAAUCCCGAUGCACCGCCCGCGCGUGCCCACAUCUUGCCCGGUUGUCCACCCACGCGUCUCCUACCAAGGGGUCCGGCGAGCAGGGCCGGCAGCCAUGGCGAACUGCCAUGGGAGGGGCCAAUCCAAGCUGGCUCAGGCACGUUGAUCUGGCCUCCUUUGGGGCUCGACGGUGGCGCAGCAAGCCCAGUCGCGACGGAUGCGGCCAGUCUCGGCCAUCGCGGGAUCAUGCUGAUGACGUUUGGCAUGUCCGUGUAAGUGCCCACUACUGCUGAUCGGACAGAGGAAAGAAGAGAGGGCGCGGCGGCGGGAGCCUAGCGUCGUCGUCUGAGUCCAUGAGCGGCCCCACGCGCUCGAUGCCCAGUAGGUCGCCGAAUGCCGUGGCACGGGCUCAAGGGAUAGUCAGGGGUAAGGCCCCCACGCAAUGGAGGCCGUAAUCGACAUCGGCGACAGAGAACGGACGGAGGAUCACUUUGUGCGUGCUUUGGCUGGCGUCUUGGUCUGUCCGAUCUCAUCUUCUCUUCCAUCUUGAGAUGACUCUUGGUUGCGUUGGGGGGAGAUGCAGGGGAGGGUGAGGAGGCCAACGACAGGGUGAAGUAGCAGCCCGGCGAGGAGAGCAACAUGAUGUUUUGCACGUUCUCUUUCCUUGGUCUUCUUGUGGCUUUUUUCUUCAUCUCAUUAUUGACCAGUGCAUUGUUUAUGUGUGUAUAUCUAUCUUCUCCUUUUUUUUAUUCUCAUGAACUGAUGUGUGUACAGGGUAAGCUUAUUCUUCUCUCUAGAAUUUAUGGAUGAGCUAAUGGCCUUGGUUAUAUGUUUGUUCAGUCCACCUAAAGGAACAAAGUUUGCACCCUUUGACUGGUUUUAUUGGAAAAUCUGACAAAAAAUAUGAUUUGAUCCCUCUGCUUCCACAUGACAAUUGUUGGUCCAGAUACCGUAUUGUCUCAUGUCCUCUGUUGCAGUUUGUAGCUUAGAGUUUUAAGACUGGGCACUGUAGUGUUGUCUGUUAUGGCUGAUUGAUGUUGUUGGCGACCUUAAGAUCAGAUUAAUUCCCGCAGUCAAUAGCUCCAGUGCAGAGUAUAUGUGCAAUGAAGUAAUGUAGCGAGCACUGUAUGGUGGAGGAGAAUUUCUCUUGAAUUUUGUACAACAUUCAAAUUAUCAUCCAAAAAAAUGUGUAUGUUGUCUCUCAAUAGGUACAUAUGCAAAUUUAUCUUUUUGUUGGUUGUUUGUUGCUUCUUGCAGCAUCCCGAGUACAUAUGUGAGACUAUGGGAGUCCUUUUUUGUGUAAUGAUGAGAGGAAUAUGACAGGGCAAACAAUUGUACCAUGUGAACAUAAUCGCUGGGAUAUGCCGGUCAAUACAGGAAAAUCUAAAAGAAUGCGACUAAAAUCACCAUUUGAAGAUGUUCAAAAUCAAACAAGAUGACUACCUAAAGUACGAGCCUCGGAAAUCGUAAGAAGCAGAAGUUAUUGGUACUUGCUCACACUCAUUUCUCAUGUUGAUGCUCAGGCAUAACCUCACAAAGCUUUGGCACACACUCACUUAUAAUCAGGGCUCGCUUAAUUUUAUCUUUCUAACUCUUUCGAGAAAUACCAUAUCAAUAUUAUUUGUGAUGACUUGUCGGUCAUAAUUUCCAGUCAUGUAAUAUCCCUUCAUAUUAUUGGUAUUAGGCGUUAGCCAGAUGCUAAUCUUCGGUUGGCUGUGAAUGUAAGCUCUGUGUUCUCCUUUGUUUUUAUCUGAUUAUGCUAUGAAAAGAAGAGUAGUUCUUUUUGUGUGUGAUGGCGAGUUGUUAGUUCUGUAUGAUUUCAGAGCACAUUGGCGUGGGUUAGCAUGAAGAGAGUAAUAACCGUGCCUGCUGAAAAUAAUUCAGCAAGUGGGUGCUUUCCAUCAUUAUAUGAGUUAGAACCUUGCUAUACACAUAAUAGUACGCAUUCGAUUUCUGAACGAUGCUGAAGAUUGCACCAUCUGGUGCACGCUGCAGCCCUGCUCCACCAUUUGAUAUAAGUGUUGGCUGCAUGUCGUGUGUGUACUGUCGUCUGCACAGCAAUUUCGUAUUGGUUAUAGGAGCUGGAUGUAGGUAUUAACAAUAUUUUGGAAAAGGGGUAGCAUAGAAUUAGUUAGUGUAGUUCUUGGUUGGAUUAUGAGAAGAUCGGCAGGUGCAAUAAAAUCUAUAGCUAUCUUGCUCUACUAUUCAAACCAUAUUCUUGCUAUAAUUUUUUCUGAGCUCCCAGUUUCUGUAUAAGUCUAUUGGUCCUGAUUCUUAACAUGGUGUAUGUAUACUGUGCUUUUCUACUCCUUGGGUACAUAAAUGCACACAAGGUUUUGAGUACUAAACAGAAGCCAUAGAAAAGGCGUGAUUAAAACUUUUAUACGUUCUCAUUUGUUCGAAUCAAACCUUUACUUUUAGAAACAUUUCCAGUUUGGUUAAAUAUGGAUCUCACCUCACCUUAUGCUAUGUUUUUUUUGGGUAGAAUAGGACCUAUAGAUUCAGUUAUUUGGCUCAUCUUUAGUGAAAUUUGUAUGGUUUUAUGUACAUUUGUAUAGGUUAUAUAUUCCAUUUGACUUCAAAUGUAGCAUGCUUUAUGAUGGAUUUAUAAUUGAUUUCCAAUUUACUUAGUUGUCAUUCUGGUUCACAAUGACAUGGGCGUAUAUCAUAUGUUCUCUCUUGCUUUGUAUUUUAUCGUUGUACUCCCACCGUUCUAAAAUAGAUGAUCCAAUUUUGUACUAACUUUGUACUAAAAUUAGUACAAAGUUGAGUCAUCUAUUUUGAAACAGAGGGAGUAGCUUCCAGGACAACAAGACUAAGUAGUAGUUCUUUAUUAUCUUUGAAAAUCGACUACACCGACUAGAAGUAGAGGCAUGUACUGAAGCAAAGUCACUCUGUCUUUAUCAUGCCAAUAGGCUGAUGUGCCCAGAAAAUAGACAACAGGAGGAGCAAGUCACCGACUCUGAAAGCAUAAAAAAUAUUCAAUAUUUAGUCCACUACUCAAUUAUGAAGAGCUAUUUGUUCAAACAAGAUAAAUAUGUGAGCUUUUUCUAACUAUAGGGGAUUGGCGUAGCUUACUACUGUUGUUGAAAUGGGUUAGCAAGUAUAUGUCGCUUUUUAUUAGGAAAGUGAAAAAGAAACUCUUUGAUGUUGGGCCUAUUCCUGUGGUAGUGACAAUUUUUUCUAAUUUACACACAAGCAUCAGAUAUUUUGUUAUGAGAGAAGUUGGAGAGUACCUAAUACUUUUGAGGCACUAUUUCAUUUGCAAUGCUGGGCAACCAUGAAAAAAUUGGAAUUGAAGUAAUCAUGCUACAUCUAUUCAAGUGUGUUACUUUUAUGCAUAUCAAUUUACAAUGUACAUCCACCAUUAGCUUUGGUCCUGUUUCUUCCUCUGAAGUUGGCUUGGUGAUGUUUGUGUCCUUAACAAAAUAUGAAGCCUUUGGAGCUUGCCAGGACACACAUUUCGUAUGAAUUGCUGAUUAUAAGAGGUGAUGGUGUGGUUUGAGUUUUCAUGUUUCUGGGUGUACUUGUACAACUCAAUCCAAAACAAAUGUAAGCCGGUCAUUAUGAAUAUUUUUAGUACUACAUGUCGGGUCUUGUGUUUUGCAAUUAAGGCUUUAUAUUGGAAAUAAGGAAUAUUGUGUGCUAUUGAACCAUUGUGUCGUAAAAUAUAUAGCCAUAGUAACUCAGGUUCCGCGCAACAUAUUUCAGCAAUAAAGGUGUGCCUUCAUAUAGAGAUCGUAUGACAAGUGUGGUCAACUACCUCAUUUUAUUUUUACAUGUUCCAGAACUUAGUAGUUUUUCCUGCCUAUAAUCAUUUGAAUUAUGUGUAUUCCUAUUUUUUUAAAGAAGGAUCCUCUGUAUUCAUAAAGGUGGAAAGAGAGACACAUGGAAGGAGCACAUCACCAAAAAUGUUUCACGCACAAAGGCAUAAGAGACUGCAUGUCUUAUCUUCUUGCUAUUUGCAUGUUGGACACUGAGACAACCAACUAACAAUUUUUCUGGGUUCACUUGAACCAACUAUCAAUGAGCUCCACAGUGUCCCUUACAACCGCUGCGCUUGUGAGUUGACCUGGAUUCAGAAAGGUGCCUCUGGUUCUCCUAAUUCGUAAUAUGCACAGUUUGAAAGAUAGACCCAUUUGAAAAUAGAUACGAACAUGCUUUUAUGAAAGCACAAAAAAGGUUUCUUUUGAAGAUUUAUAUAUGGAGGUUACAAUGAUGCAUCAUUCAGGACUACCGGUAAUAGAGAAGGCACUCGGUCCUCCAAGCAAUACUCCCUGAUGAAGUCAUGUACCUAGGGUAGGGUCACAGGCCUAUCCUAGGUACCCUCCCCAAGGACAUCCACAGAAGAAGCUGCCUUCCAGUCGACCAAGAGGAAGGCCACUCGACAGAC
Long non-coding RNA from Triticum aestivum (bread wheat), 4554 nucleotides. RefSeq lists it as uncharacterized. NCBI's taxonomy places the organism in Eukaryota, Viridiplantae, Streptophyta, Magnoliopsida, Poales, Poaceae. The record is from RefSeq and is a predicted model, not a curated record. The transcript is spliced from 3 exons.